UCGCUCUUCAACGAGGAAUCCCUAGUAAGCACAAGUCAUCAGCUUGUGUUGAUUACGUCCCUGCCCUUUGUACACACCGCCCGUCGCUACUACCGAUUGAAUGGCUUAGUGAGACCCUCGGAUUGGUAUUCAGAAGCUUUAACCGGCAUCUGUUUGCUGAGAAGUUGGUCAAACUUGGUCAUUUAGAGGAAGUAAAAGUCGUAACAAGGUUUCCGUAGGUGAACCUGCGGAAGGAUCAUUAAUGAUUUUAAAGCGAGUCGAAGCGUUAAGCGAGGCUUGCGAAAAUAUUUAAAACCCCACUCUUUAUAACUUUAAAAAAUAAAUCAUGAUACAUGAAUUUAAAAAAAAGAUCACUUUCAACAACGGAUCUCUUGGCUCUCGCAUCGAUGAAGAACGCAGCGAAAUGCGAUAAGUAGUGUGAAUUGCAUAAUUUUGUGAAUCAUCGAAUCUUUGAACGCAAAUUGCACUCCCUGGUAUUCCGGGGAGUAUGCCUGUUUGAGGGUCGUUAGAAUAAAAAUCGAGGCGUCGCUCUUUUUUUUAAGGGUGAUCGCGUCGGAAUUGAGCCGUCUUUCAAAUGUUAAUUCAUGUCAAAGUGGCUUAAAAUUCAUCCAUCCGGUACGGUUUAAAGCGUAUUUAAGAUCAAUUUUGAUUAAGAACGCGCGAUGACGUACCAUCUCAUGUAGUACGUUGACCUGGGUCGUCAGGUUCACUCGUAUACUAAACUCGAACUUUUGACCUCAAAUCAGGUAAGAAUACCCGCUGAACUUAAGCAUAUCAAUAAGCGGAGGAAAAGAAAAUAACAAUGAUUCCCUCAGUAACGGCGAGCGAAGAGGGAUAAGCUCAAAUUUUAAAUCUGUUGGGUUCCACUUAACAGAGUUGUAUUUUGAAGAAACGUUUUCUGCAUCCAGGAUUAGCCUAAAUCCUUUGGGAUAAGGUAUCAUGGAGGGUGAGAAUCCCGUUCAUGGUUAAUCUUAAGGAAGCUCUACGAUACGUUUUCCAGAGUCGAGUUGUUUGGGAUUGCAGCUCAAAAUGAAGUAAAUUUCUCUAGCUAAAUAUGCGAGAGACGAUAGCGACAGUACGUGAGAAGAUGAAAGAACUUGAAAGAGAGUAACAGUACGUGCAUUGUUGAAUGGAACGAUGAGUCAGUCAUACACGAGUCACCCUUGGUUGGUCCUCGGUGGAAUGUCAUAAAAUGACUGGAGGAAUGUAGCUUCGAUCUCGUAUUGAAGUGUUAUAGCCUUUGGUAGAUGUGAUGUUUGAGACCGAGGAUUGCAACGGAUACCCUUUAGGGCUAUUCGUCUGAUCUCUGAUACGUUGCCUUGAUGUUGAAAGCUUGCUUAUGAUGUUAGGGUAUUACGGUCAAAAGGUUAGAACGGAUUAGAUUCGUUAAGGAUGUUGACGUAAUGACUUUAAACGACCCGUCUUGAAACACGGACCAAGGAGUCUAACAUAUAUGCGAGUGUUC
This 1465-nucleotide ribosomal RNA is filed under the name uncultured Glomeromycotina. RNAcentral's name for it is "eukaryotic LSU rRNA". The stretch from base 733 to 1465 matches the Rfam family "Eukaryotic large subunit ribosomal RNA", at positions 1 to 695 of the family's 3401-position model. The record is from RNAcentral. Lineage: Eukaryota; Fungi; Glomeromycota.